GAUUGAUCUAUCAAUGAUGGAUAUUCUGUAGACUGAUUUUAACUGUGAUGUUAGAUAAAGAGAUUCGUCACUACCACUGAGAUAGAUCAAUA
Anneissia japonica is the source of this 92-nucleotide small nucleolar RNA. RefSeq annotates it as small nucleolar RNA SNORD70. The transcript has a single exon. The record is from RefSeq and is a predicted model, not a curated record. Lineage: Eukaryota; Metazoa; Echinodermata; Crinoidea; Comatulida; Comatulidae.